RNAcentral lists this ribosomal RNA (262 nucleotides) under uncultured bacterium. Its description in RNAcentral is "partial 16S ribosomal RNA". It matches the Rfam family "Bacterial small subunit ribosomal RNA", at positions 1239 to 1500 of the family's 1533-position model. The record is from RNAcentral.
ACAACGAGUCGCCAACCCGCGAGGGUGCGCUAAUCUCUUAAAACCAUUCUCAGUUCGGAUUGCAGGCUGCAACUCGCCUGCAUGAAGUCGGAAUCGCUAGUAAUCGCGGAUCAGCACGCCGCGGUGAAUACGUUCCCGGGCCUUGUACACACCGCCCGUCACACCACGGAAGUUGGGAGUACCCAAAGUAGGUUGCCUAACCGCAAGGAGGGCGCUUCCUAAGGUAAGACAGAUGACUGGGGUGAAGUCGUAACAAGGUAUC